RNAcentral lists this ribosomal RNA (517 nucleotides) under uncultured bacterium. RNAcentral describes it as "bacterial SSU rRNA". It matches the Rfam family "Bacterial small subunit ribosomal RNA", at positions 9 to 517 of the family's 1533-position model. The record is from RNAcentral.
GAGUUUGAUCUUGGCUCAGAUUGAACGCUGGCGGCAGGCCUAACACAUGCAAGUCGAGCGGUAGAGAGAAGCUUGCUUCUCUUGAGAGCGGCGGACGGGUGAGUAAUGCCUAGGAAUCUGCCGUGGUAGUGGGGGAUAACGCUCGGAAACGGACGCUAAUACCGCAUACGUCCUACGGGAGAAAGCAGGGGACCUUCGGGCCUUGCGCUAUCAGAUGAGCCUAGGUCGGAUUAGCUAGUUGGUGAGGUAAUGGCUCACCAAGGCGACGAUCCGUAACUGGUCUGAGAGGAUGAUCAGUCACACUGGAACUGAGACACGGUCCCAGGACUCCUACGGGAGGCAGGCAGUGGGGAAUAUUGGACAAUGGGCGAAAGCCUGAUCCAGCCAUGCCGCGUGUGUGAAGAAGGUCUUCGGAUUGUAAAGCACUUUAAGUUGGAGGAAGGGCAGUAAAUUAAUACUUUAGCUGUUUUGACGUUACCGACAGAAUAAGCACCGGCUAACUCUGUGCCAGCCGCCG